UAACAAGAGAGUUUGAUCCUGGCUCAGGAUGAACGCUAGCGGCAGGCUUAACACAUGCAAGUCGAGGGGCAGCGCGAUGUAGCAAUACAUUGGCGGCGACCGGCGGAAGGGUGCGUAACGCGUGAGCAACAUGCCCGUCACAGGGGGAUAAUCCAUGGAAACGUGGUCUAAAACCGCAUAGAUUA
This 185-nucleotide ribosomal RNA is filed under the name Lachnospiraceae bacterium. RNAcentral's name for it is "partial 16S ribosomal RNA". It matches the Rfam family "Bacterial small subunit ribosomal RNA", at positions 1 to 180 of the family's 1533-position model. Lineage: Bacteria; Bacillati; Bacillota; Clostridia; Lachnospirales; Lachnospiraceae. The record is from RNAcentral.